Molecule: long non-coding RNA, 70 nt
Organism: Rana temporaria (common frog)
Lineage: Eukaryota; Metazoa; Chordata; Amphibia; Anura; Ranidae
Exons: 2
Source: RefSeq, a predicted model, not a curated record
CCACACAGGAAGGUCACACCAUCCCUCGCCAUUACAAGUGGGAAGAUCCAGUAGAUAUAGAAUUUGAAGU